This 191-nucleotide ribosomal RNA is filed under the name Oceanobacillus picturae. Its description in RNAcentral is "partial 16S ribosomal RNA". It matches the Rfam family "Bacterial small subunit ribosomal RNA", at positions 1332 to 1522 of the family's 1533-position model. Lineage: Bacteria; Bacillati; Bacillota; Bacilli; Caryophanales; Bacillaceae. The record is from RNAcentral.
UCGCUAGUAAUCGCGGAUCAGCAUGCCGCGGUGAAUACGUUCCCGGGUCUUGUACACACCGCCCGUCACACCACGAGAGUUGGUAACACCCGAAGUCGGUGAGGUAACCGUAAGGAGCCAGCCGCCGAAGGUGGGAUCAAUGAUUGGGGUGAAGUCGUAACAAGGUAGCCGUAUCGGAAGGUGCGGCUGGA